Molecule: ribosomal RNA, 514 nt
Filed under: uncultured bacterium
Lineage: Bacteria
Description: bacterial SSU rRNA
Rfam family: Bacterial small subunit ribosomal RNA
Source: RNAcentral
UUCGAUUCUGGCUCAGGAUGAACGCUAGCGACAGGCUUAACACAUGCAAGUCGAGGGGCAGCAUAAAAGUAGCAAUACUUGGUGGCGACCGGCGCACGGGUGAGUAACGCGUAUGCAACCUACCUAUCAGGAGGGGAAUAACCCGGCGAAAGUCGGACUAAUACCGCAUAAAACAGGGGCACCGCAUGGUGAUAUUUGUUAAAGAGAUUCGCUGAUAGAUGGGCAUGCGUUCCAUUAGGUAGUUGGUGAGGUAACGGCUCACCAAGCCGACGAUGGAUGGGGGAACUGAGAGGUUGGUCCCCCACACUGGUACUGAGACACGGACCAGACUCCUACGGGAGGCAGCAGUGAGGAAUAUUGGUCAAUGGGCGGGAGCCUGAACCAGCCAAGUCGCGUGAAGGAAGAAGGAUCUAUGGUUCGUAAACUUCUUUUGCAGGGGAAUAAAGUGCAGGACGUGUCCUGUUUUGUAUGUACCCUGAGAAUAAGGAUCGGCUAACUCCGUGCCAGCAGCGGC